CCUACGGGGGGCAGCAGUGGGGAAUAUUGGACAAUGGGGGGAACCCUGAUCCAGCCAUGCCGCGUGUGUGAAGAAGGCCCUCGGGUUGUAAAGCACUUUCAGUGAGGAAGAACGCCUGGUGGUUAAUACCCAUCAGGAAAGACAUCACUCACAGAAGAAGCACCGGCUAACUCCGUGCCAGCAGCCGCGGUAAUACGGAGGGUGCGAGCGUUAAUCGGAAUUACUGGGCGUAAAGCGCGCGUAGGUGGCUUGAUAAGCCGGUUGUGAAAGCCCCGGGCUCAACCUGGGAACGGCAUCCGGAACUGUCAAGCUAGAGUGCAGGAGAGGAAGGUAGAAUUCCCGGUGUAGCGGUGAAAUGCGUAGAGAUCGGGAGGAUUACCAGUGGCGAAGGCGGCCUUCUGGACUGACACUGACACUGAGGUGCGAAAGCGUGGGUAGCAAACAGGAUUAGAUACCCCUGUAGUC
RNAcentral lists this ribosomal RNA (465 nucleotides) under Vreelandella stevensii. RNAcentral's name for it is "partial 16S ribosomal RNA". It matches the Rfam family "Bacterial small subunit ribosomal RNA", at positions 338 to 795 of the family's 1533-position model. Lineage: Bacteria; Pseudomonadati; Pseudomonadota; Gammaproteobacteria; Oceanospirillales; Halomonadaceae. The record is from RNAcentral.